AGUAUUUUGGAGUUACCUUGUUUGAUGUCUGGAGAGAUUUUUGAGAAAAUUACCUAAUAGAAGAAUCUUAGCAGAAAAUAUGGACUUUGUAGGAGAAGAAAACAUCAAUAAUCAUUAACAAAAGCAUUUCAGUGUUUUGUGGGACAAAGGGAGAAUACUUCAGCUCUUUGACUUACAGAGCGCUGUUACAUGCAGCAUUGUCAAAAUCGAUGAGCACCGUACAUGUGGUAAGAAACAAAGAUGUAUACAGGGAAAAGUUAGGCAUUUUUCUGUUAUUGCUCAUCUAA
Long non-coding RNA from Camelus dromedarius (Arabian camel), 287 nucleotides. RefSeq lists it as uncharacterized. NCBI's taxonomy places the organism in Eukaryota, Metazoa, Chordata, Mammalia, Artiodactyla, Camelidae. The record is from RefSeq and is a predicted model, not a curated record. The transcript is spliced from 3 exons.